RNAcentral lists this long non-coding RNA (565 nucleotides) under Elaeis guineensis (African oil palm). RNAcentral's name for it is "long non-coding RNA (EGUI_LNC062106)". The record is from RNAcentral. Lineage: Eukaryota; Viridiplantae; Streptophyta; Magnoliopsida; Arecales; Arecaceae.
AUCUAUUUUUUUUCAGUAGUAGAUUUUAGAUUUUGCAUACACCUAUCAUGUAUAUUGCAGAGAAGAGUAAUUUGACUCCUUGAAGAGCAGUGAGGGCAUUGUUUAUCUGCCAGAUGGAUCAAACUGUGUGAUCAGAGAUAUCAAAACGGUCAGCUGGAAGAUACAUGAUGGUAUAGUGAGAAGAUUGGUAGAGGUCCAAUACAUAUCCGAUUUCAGGUGGAAUCUUAUUUCACUAAGUAGACUGGAUUCAAGAGGCUAUAGGAUAGUAGCUGGUGAAGAAAUCCCGAAGGUGUUGCACAACAAUAGGAUUAUUCUGAAGAAAAAAAAGAGAAUGAGAGGAUAUUACUAUCUAGCAGGGAGCCCAAUGCGAGGUGGAGCUUCAAGAGCCAGAGGAGCACAGAGCAAGGUGGAGCUCCAAGUGGUGGAUCAGGCAUUAGAUGGGAGACUCAAAAGGAUGAGAGGUGAUACCACAGAGUGAAGUUUCUAUUACUGUAAGAGACUUUUUCGAGUAGGUCUUUAGUCAGAGUGGACAGAGCUCAUGAUGGAGGUGGGAUCGAGUGGCCUG